AUUGAACGCUGGCGGCAGGCCUAACACAUGCGAGUCGAACGGUAACAGGAAACAGCUUGCUGUUUCGCUGACGAGUGGCGGACGGGUGAGUAAUGUCUGGGAAACUGCCUGAUGGAGGGGGAUAACUACUGGAAACGGUAGCUAAUACCGCAUAACGUCGCAAGACCAAAGAGGGGGACCUUCGGGCCUCUUGCCAUCGGAUGUGCCCAGAUGGGAUUAGCUAGUAGGUGGGGUAACGGCUCACCUAGGCGACGAUCCCUAGCUGGUCUGAGAGGAUGACCAGCCACACUGGAACUGAGACACGGUCCAGACUCCUACGGGAGGCAGCAGUAGGGAAUAUUGCACAAUGGGCGCAAGCCUGAUGCAGCCAUGCCGCGUGUAUGAAGAAGGCCUUCGGGUUGUAAAGUACUUUCAGCGGGGAUGAAGGGAGUAAAGUUAAUACCUUUGCUCAUUGACGUUACCCGCAGAAGAAGCACCGGCUAACUCCGUG
RNAcentral lists this ribosomal RNA (490 nucleotides) under uncultured bacterium. RNAcentral's name for it is "partial 16S ribosomal RNA". It matches the Rfam family "Bacterial small subunit ribosomal RNA", at positions 30 to 507 of the family's 1533-position model. The record is from RNAcentral.